CCGGCACGGGUGAGUAACACGUAUCCAACCUGCCGUCUACUCUUGGACAGCCUUCUGAAAGGAAGAUUAAUACAAGAUGGCAUCAUGAGUCCGCAUGUUCACAUGAUUAAAGGUAUUCCGGUAGACGAUGGGGAUGCGUUCCAUUAGAUAGUAGGCGGGGUAACGGCCCACCUAGUCUUCGAUGGAUAGGGGUUCUGAGAGGAAGGUCCCCCACAUUGGAACUGAGCACGGUCCAA
RNAcentral lists this ribosomal RNA (236 nucleotides) under uncultured bacterium. Its description in RNAcentral is "partial 16S ribosomal RNA". It matches the Rfam family "Bacterial small subunit ribosomal RNA", at positions 100 to 334 of the family's 1533-position model. The record is from RNAcentral.